RNAcentral lists this ribosomal RNA (780 nucleotides) under uncultured bacterium. RNAcentral describes it as "bacterial SSU rRNA". It matches the Rfam family "Bacterial small subunit ribosomal RNA", at positions 50 to 840 of the family's 1533-position model. The record is from RNAcentral.
UAAACAUCGCAAGUCGACGAGAACGGAUUAUAGCUUGCUAUAAUUGUCAGCUAAGUGGCGCACGGGUGAGUAAUGUAUAGAUAACCUGCCCUUAAGAAAGGAAUAACAGUUGGAAACGACUGCUAAUGCCCUAUAUGCCUUUAAUACAUAAGUAUGCAAGGGAAACGCUUUAGUGCUUAAGGAUGGGUCUGUAUGGUAUCAGCUUGUUGGUGAGGUAAUGGCUCACCAAGGCUAUGACGCCUAACUGGUUUGAGAGGAUGAUCAGUCACACUGGAACUGAGACACGGUCCAGACUCCUACGGGAGGCAGCAGUGGGGAAUAUUGCACAAUGGACGAAAGUCUGAUGCAGCAACGCCGCGUGGAGGAUGACACAUUUCGGUGCGUAAACUCCUUUUAUAUAGGAAGAUAAUGACGGUACUAUAUGAAUAAGCACCGGCUAACUCCGUGCCAGCAGCCGCGGUAAUACGGAGGGUGCAAGCGUUACUCGGAAUCACUGGGCGUAAAGAGCGUGUAGGCGGGUAUAUAAGUCAGAAGUGAAAUCCAAUAGCUCAACUAUUGAACUGCUUUUGAAACUGUAUACCUAGAAUGUGGGAGAGGUAGAUGGAAUUUCUGGUGUAGGGGUAAAAUCCGUAGAGAUCAGAAGGAAUACCGAUUGCGAAGGCGAUCUACUGGAACAUUAUUGACGCUGAGACGCGAAAGCGUGGGGAGCAAACAGGAUUAGAUACCCUGGUAGUCCACGCCCUAAACGAUGUACACUAGUUGUUGUGAGGCUCGACCUUG